UGGGGAAUUUUGGACAAUGGGCGCAAGCCUGAUCCAGCAAUGCCGCGUGCAGGAUGAAGGCCUUCGGGUCGUAAACUGCUUUUGUACGGAACGAAAAGCCUCUCUCUAAUACAGGGGGGUGAUGACGGUACCGUAAGAAUAAGCACCGGCUAACUACGUGCCAGCAGCCGCGGUAAUACGUAGGGUGCAAGCGUUAAUCGGAAUUACUGGGCGUAAAGCGUGCGCAGGCGGUUUUGUAAGACAGUGGUGAAAUCCCCGGGCUCAACCUGGGAACUGCCAUUGUGACUGCAAGGCUGGAGUGCGGCAGAGGGGGAUGGAAUUCCGCGUGUAGCAGUGAAAUGCGUAGAUAUGCGGAGGAACACCGAUGGCGAAGCAAUCCCCUGGGCCUGCACUGACGCUCAUGCACGAAAGCGUGGGGAGCAAACAGGAUUAGAUACCCUGGUAGUCCACGCCCUAAAACGAUG
This 464-nucleotide ribosomal RNA is filed under the name uncultured bacterium. Its description in RNAcentral is "partial 16S ribosomal RNA". It matches the Rfam family "Bacterial small subunit ribosomal RNA", at positions 355 to 811 of the family's 1533-position model. The record is from RNAcentral.